AGGUUCCCGCGGGCCCCGGUCGGCGAACAGCUCUGCAAGGACCGCCGCAGGCCACAAGUGCACGGGGUGCCAGGAGCUCCCCGUCCCCGGCCCCCAGCCCGGGCUGAAACAGCAACGGUUUGCCCGGGCCCUCCCCCUUCCCUCUUCCCCAGCAAAUCUACCCAGACCGGAAGCGCGACACGCGCUUAGACCCGAGCCUUCUCUCAGCCUCGGGACCAGGUGCUUGUUGGCUACGUCGAAAAGGCAAAAGUAAAGAAAGCGAAGGCGAAGGGCAGCUCAAUGGGAACGAUUCAGGGGGUCUUCCCGGCUCCCAGCACCCCCAAGAAGAUGGCUGCCGGUAAAUCUCGCGAGAAUUGAUGAAGUCUCGCGGUGGCUCCCGGAGCCUGCUGGGAGAGACGUAAGGAGGAAAAGACCGCUGACUUCAGAAACAGCGGGAACCCCAGCUCGUCCCCGAUGACAAAAUUGGGGUCUGGACGUGUGCAAGGACUUUUCCAAAGUCAGCUGGAAAGGAGCUGCUUAGCUGAGAGGUUCUGGCUCCAGAGUCUCCUGUGAAGUUGCAGUCAAGAUGUCUGCUGGGACCCCAGUCAUUUGAAGCCCUGUCUGGGGCAGGAGAAUCUAGGUCCAAAAUGGCCGUUGCAGGAGUCCUUAUCCACACCAUGUGGGACCUCUUCAUAGAUGUUCGAGUGUCCUCAUGGCAUGGCCACUGGCUUUCCCCAAAACAAUCAACAAAACUGAAAAAGCCCAGCCUUGUAGCAUUUGCCAGUUAUUGUGUAAAUGUCCCCACUAUGGUGGAUUUCAGGUUACCACUAUGAUAUCACAGAAUGCAGAAUUGGAAGGAGAUUCACAGCAGCACCCCAUUAUACUAUAUUUUCACCAUACAGAUGCAGUCGAUGUAAAUUACCUGAGGAGCAUAAAUAAUAAUAAAAUGAAGUUAAAUAAUUCGGAAAUGAUUUUGAAAAUUGUGUUGGUUUUUAAUGUAAGUUUAUAUGUCAGCUUUAAUAAAAUCUGUCUUUAACAACUAGCUUGAAGAAUUCUUGAAAAAUUAAUAAUCAGCUCUCAUAGGCUAGUGACAACUGGCUUCAGUGCACCCCUGACUAGAAACACCUUUGCUUUCCACCACAUGUGGAAUUCCCAGUAUUUCAACAAUCAGAAUUGAGCUUAUGAGCCAACCAAGAAAAAUAACAUCUUAUAUAAGAGACAGCAAUUUGAGAGAGGAAUAUCAGUCAGAAGAAACAAGGGGAAAGUCGAACUUGUAAAAGAGAGAUGAAAAUUUGAAUUUUUUUAAAGGCAUCCUUAAGCAUAUUUAAGUACAACACAAAAAGUUAAAGAAUUUAGUAGAUAAAUAGAAAGAUGAGAUGAUUACCACUGAGACACAGAUCAAUGAUCUGGAAGAUAAAAACAAAUCAUAAAAAUAAAAGUAUCUUGAAAUUUUGCAAAGUACAUCAUAAAUCAAUGCAUCAGAGAUUAUGUGUCAUGACAAAAAAAUUUAUACUCAGAAUGAUAUGUCACUGCUUACUAUGCAAAUAUUUUCUAUUUCUCCUAGCUUCAAACUAUGCAUAUGGGCCAGGCGCGGUAGCUCAUGCCUGUAAUCCCAACACUUUGGAAGGUCAAGGUGGGCAGAUCAUUUGAGGCCAGGAGUUUGAGACCAGCCUGGCCAACAUGGUGAAACUCCGUCUCUACUAAAAAAUACAAAAUAAUUAGCUGGGUGUCGUGGAGCAUACCUGUAAUCCCAGCUGCUCCGGAGGCUGAGGCACGAGAAUCGUCUGAACCCAGGUGAUUCUGCACUCUACUUGGGCUCUGUCUCAAAACAACAACAACAGCAACAACAAAAACUGUGGUAUUUUUAAUGAACUAAAUAUUAAUCUGCUAACACAGCAUAGGUUUUAUGAUUACUGCAAUUCAAAAGUCAUAAUAAAUUUUAAAACAAAUCCUCCUGUACCUGUUGUGGUGCAUGCAGAAACUUUUCCUGUUCAACACACUUAUAUGGCACUAUAUAGGGAUAUACCAAAUAGCUCAGGUACAUAGUGAAUACAACUUUAACACUUAUAUUGAAAUGCUAAUCUUACUUGCCAAUAUUAGUGGCACAUUAGCAUAAUUUAACUUUUAUAAAAUUAUGGAAAACAGUUUAAAAUUAUUCUCCCUAAUAUUAGCAAAUUGCAUUAAUGGCAUGUACCGUGUGCCAGUUUGUUUCCAAAUAAACAAAAUGUACCUUGAUAUGCCACUUCAGAGCCAGCAGAGGGAGCUCAUACUUUUUUAUUGUUUUCAACUUACUGAAGAAAAUUUGCUUUUAAAAGCUACUGUGUUAUAACCAAUGAGAACCAAGAAAAAGGAAAAAAAAAAAAAAGCUACUGGAUUCUGAAAAAUAAUGUAGUUGUUAUUUAAAUAAUAAAAAUGUAUUAGUAAACAAAAAAGUCAUACUUUAGGUUGAAAUAAUAAAUCAAUUCUAAAUAAAAAGAUAUUAAUGAUAUUUUAUGUAAAAAUGUCAAUUAAAACUACAUAAUUUCAAGGUUUUUUUUUUCUUUUUCUUUUAUUAUAAUUUUUUUAGAGACAAGAGUGUCGCUCUGUCACCCAGGCUGGAGUGCAGUGAUGUGAUCAUAGCUCACUGCAACCUCAAACUCCUGGGGUAAAGCAAUCCUCCUGCCUUAGCUUUCUAAGCAGCUAGGACUACAGAUGCAUUCCACUAUGCCUGGCUAAUUUUAAAAUUUUUUUGUAGAGACAGGGUCUUGCUAUGUUGCCCAGACUAGUCUCAAACUCCUGGCUUCAAACAAUCCUCCCACCUCAGUCUCCUGAGUUGGGGUUACAUGUGUGAGCCACUGCACUCAUCUGCACUCAGCUAUUCAAUUUAUUUUUCUAAUAGCCUUUACUAAAAAAAAGAAAUGUUUGUAACAGAGAUUUCUGGGGUAAACUAAAAUGGAAACCUUCCAGCUACAAGCAUAAAACGUAACAGAUAAAAAAUGACAAAUAUGACACACUUCAAAUUUAAUUCUUACACAUGAAAUUAAACACAUAAUUUAAAUACAUUCCCAUUCACUCAAUUCUCAGCCCUUCCAAAGACACAGAUAAAUGCCAUUAUUAGUUUCUUCUUCUUUUUUUUUUUCUUUUUUUAUUUUUUGAGACAGAGUUUUGCUCUUGUUGCUCAAGCUGGAGUGUAAUGGUGCAAUUUAGGCUUACUGCAGCCUCCAUCUCCUGGUUCAAGUGAUUCUCCUGCCUCAGCCUCCCGAGUAGCUGGGAUAACAGGUGUGCAUCACCAUGCCCAGCUAAUUUUUUGUAUUUUUAGUAGAAAUGGGGUUUCACCAUGUUAGCCAGGCUGGUCUCAAACUCCUGACCUCAAGUGAUCCACCCGCCUUGGCCUCCCAAAGUGCUGGGAUUACAGGCGUGAGCCACCACAUCCGGCCCAUUAUUGGUUUCUUAUGUAUCCUUUCAGAAUUUCUUUAUGAAUAUACAGACAUAUAUGAACAUAAAAUCUUAUUCUAAUCGAAUUUUUCUUAUGCAAAAACAGCAUAUCAUAUACACUAUUCUGUAUCCUGCUCUUUUUACUAAUAUAUAUUGGAAACAUUCGCGUAAGUCUAUAGUAGAGACCUUACUCCUUUUUUUUAGGCAUGUGUAGUGUAUAGCAGACAGAUUGUAAGAAUAUAUAAUAAUUGAUCUAUUCCCACUUAAUAAAUUUUUUUAGUUGUUUCCAUUUUCAAUUACAGAAAAUUCUCCAAUAAUGAACUUGUAUAUAUUUGCCAUUUUCUACAUGUGAAGUCUAUGUGUCUGAAGGAUAAAGUCCCAAAAGUGGGAUUGCUAGGUAAAAGGACAUAAGCAUUUGUAAUAAUGAUGGAUAUUGCCAAAUUACUUACUAUGAAAAUUAUAGCUACUUAUACUCCCUCAGGAGCAAUAUGUCUAUUUCCUCACGAUAUUGCCAACUGAGUCUUAUCUAACUUUUGAUGUUUGCCAGUCUGAUAGAUGAAAAAUGUGUCCUCUAAGUAUAAUGUACUAUUCUUAUUAUGAGUGAGUUGAACAUCUUUUGAAUAUGUCAAAGCCAUUUGUAUUUCCUUUCUGUUAACUUUCUGCUCAUAGUUUCUGCUCACUUUUGGGAUCCUUUCCUUGUUAAUUUGUAGAAGGCCUUUAUUGAGUAGGGAGAUUAGCCCUUUGUGAUAUGUGUUGCCACUUUGUUAAGUCAUUUGUCUUAUGUUUUUUAUUUGACAUGCAGAAGUUUUCAUAUAUACGUAGCCAAAUUUAUCAAUUUUGUUUAAUGCCUUUUAGAUUUGGGGUCAUAGAAAAGCCAUCCCCACCCCCAUAUUAUAAAGAACUCUCCCAUGUUUUCUUCUAGUAUUUUCUUGUUUUAUUAAAUUUUCAUUGAAAUAUUUAGAUUUGGACUUUAUUCACAAAUAAAGUACAGUGUGAGUUAAGGAUCCAAUUCUGUUUUUCCAAAUGGUUACCAAAAUGUUCCAGUACCACCUAUGUCAAAUAGUAAGUUUUCUUAUGCUUCUGAUUCUAUUUCUGUAGUUUUUACUGUAAUCAUUGGUGCUUAUAUAAUUUGUUUUAUUGCUCUGUAAUUCUGGGCCUUCUUCAUUGCUCUUCCUUUUCAGAGCUUUCCUGGCUAUUUGGCUGUUUAUUUUUCCAUAUAAGUUUUAGGAUCACACUGUGUACUGAAAACAAAGUUGAUAUUUGUUACUUGCUUUUUAUUAGUAUUUUAAAUAAAAUUUGUAAAAGUGUAUAUAUAUAUAAAAUACUAAUUCUUUUCGAUUUUUAAAUGUCUUUCAGAGGCAAUUUACAGUUGUUUAUAUACAUAUAUUGCAUUCUUUUUAGUUUUAUCUUUUUUGUUGCUAUUAUAAAUUGGAUUUUUAAAAUUACAUAUUAUAUUGUAAUAUGUAUAUAAGAAAGCUCUUUAUUUUCUACCUCACUACCCUACUGAAUUUUUCUAUUCUUAUCUUGGAUUUUCUAUGUACUAAUAGUAAUACUAAUAGUCAUAGUUUUAAAUUCUUUCCAAUUUUGUACCUCAAAUUUAUUUCUCUUGUAUUAUUUAUUUUUUCAGUAGCUAGAGUACAAUAAUAAUUAUAGCGAUGAGAGUUGGCAGACUUGUCUUGUCCCUGGCUUUAAUGAGAAAUGAUUGUAAAGUUUGAUCAUAAUUAUGAUGCUAACUUUUGGUCAGGGAUAAGUAUAAUUUUCAUUUUAAGGAAAUAUCAAUGGAUUUAUAUUUCAUUAAAAUUUUUUAAAUAAUAAGUAGUUGUUGAAUUUUGUCAAAUGCCUGUUCACCAUCUGUGGAAGUCAUUAUAUGAUUCAGGAUUAUAUGAUUUUUCAUUGUAUAUGUAUUAAUAUUAUAUGUACUAAUAAAGAUCUGUGAAAGUUGUCAGAAU
RNAcentral lists this long non-coding RNA (5342 nucleotides) under Homo sapiens (human). RNAcentral's name for it is "non-protein coding RBM26-AS1:19". Lineage: Eukaryota; Metazoa; Chordata; Mammalia; Primates; Hominidae. The record is from RNAcentral.